This 495-nucleotide ribosomal RNA is filed under the name uncultured bacterium. Its description in RNAcentral is "partial 16S ribosomal RNA". It matches the Rfam family "Bacterial small subunit ribosomal RNA", at positions 28 to 507 of the family's 1533-position model. The record is from RNAcentral.
GACGAACGCUGGCGGCGUGCCUAAUACAUGCAAGUCGAACGCUGACGGAGGAGCUUGCUUCUCUGGACGAGUUGCGAACGGGUGAGUAACGCGUAGGUAACCUGCCUGGUAGUGGGGGAUAAUUAUUGGUAAAGAUAGCUACUACCACAUAAUAGCAGCUGUUGCACAAUAACUGUUUGAAAGGUGCCAUUGCACCGCUACUAGACGGAGCUGCGUUGGAUUAGUUAGUUGGUGGGGUAACGGCUCACCCAGGCGACGAUACCUAGCCGGACUGAGAGGGUGAACGGCCACACUGGGACUGGGACACGGCCCAGACUCCUACGGGAGGCAGCAGUAGGGAAUCUUCGGCAAGGGACGGAAGGCUGACCGAGGAACGCCGCGUGAGAGAAGGAGGGUUUCGGGUCUGAAAGCUCUGUUGUGAGGGGAGAACGGGUGUGAGAGUGGAAAGUUCACACAUUGACGGUAUCUGAACAGAAAGGGACGGCUAACUACGUG